GCCUCUUUAGCUCAGCUGGUAGAGCAAUUCAUUCGUAAUGAAUAGGUCGUUGGUUCAAGUCCGACAAGAGGCU
This 73-nucleotide transfer RNA is filed under the name Bacteroidales bacterium. RNAcentral's name for it is "tRNA-Thr". It matches the Rfam family "tRNA". Rfam says of the family: Transfer RNA (tRNA) molecules are approximately 80 nucleotides in length. Their secondary structure includes four short double-helical elements and three loops (D, anti-codon, and T loops). Lineage: Bacteria; Pseudomonadati; Bacteroidota; Bacteroidia; Bacteroidales. The record is from RNAcentral.